Molecule: small RNA, 78 nt
Filed under: Flavobacterium xinjiangense
Lineage: Bacteria; Pseudomonadati; Bacteroidota; Flavobacteriia; Flavobacteriales; Flavobacteriaceae
Description: Flavo-1 RNA
Rfam family: Flavo-1 RNA
Source: RNAcentral
UUUUAGCCCUGAUAAUAGUGAAAAUCCUUUUAUGCCGGUGUUCGGCAUAAAAGAUUGUAACGGAUAGCGGGAUUAGCU